Molecule: ribosomal RNA, 376 nt
Filed under: uncultured bacterium
Lineage: Bacteria
Description: bacterial SSU rRNA
Rfam family: Bacterial small subunit ribosomal RNA
Source: RNAcentral
GACGAAGGUGGCAAGCGUUGUUCGGAAUCACUGGGCUUAAAGGGCGCGUAGGCGGCUUGUCAAGUGUCUGGUGAAAGACCCCGGCUCAACCGGGGAAUGGCUGGGCAAACUGAUGAGCUUGAGGCAGGUAGGGGCGAGUGGAACUCUUGGUGGAGCGGUGGAAUGCGUAGAUAUCAAGAGGAACGCCGGAGGCGAAGGCGACUCGCUGGGCCUGUCCUGACGCUGAGGCGCGAAAGCCAGGGGAGCAAACGGGAUUAGAUACCCCGGUAGUCCUGGCCCUAAACUAUGUCCACUAGGCUGGAGGCACUCUGACGUGUUUUCGGCCGAAAUGAAAACGUUAAGUGGACCGCCUGGGGAGUACGGUCGCAAGGCUAAA